This 461-nucleotide ribosomal RNA is filed under the name uncultured eukaryote. Its description in RNAcentral is "SSU rRNA". It matches the Rfam family "Eukaryotic small subunit ribosomal RNA", at positions 4 to 460 of the family's 1831-position model. The record is from RNAcentral.
CUGGUUGAUCCUGCCAGUAGUCAUAUGCUUGUCUCAAAGAUUAAGCCAUGCAUGUGUUAGUACAAGCUUGUAUCAAGCGAAACUGCGGAUGGCUCAUUAAAUCAGUCAUGGUUCCUUGGAACGAGUUGCCCUACAUGGAUAACUGUGGUAAUUCUAGAGCUAAUACAUGCUACCAUGCGCCGACCUCUUGGAAGGCUGUGCUUUUAUUAGGAACAAAGACCAAGCCUAGCCCGCCUUUCGUUGGUGAACUCUGGAUAACUUAGCAGAUCGCACGGUCAUCGCACCGGCGACAGAAACCAUCAAACGUCUGCCUAUCAACUUUCGAUGGUACGUUAUGCGCCUACCAUGGUCGUAACGGGUAACGGAGAAUCAGGGUUCGAUUCCGGAGAGGGAGCCUGAGAAAUGGCUACCACAUCCAAGGAAGGCAGCAGGCCGCGCAAAUUACCCACUCUCGACACGGG